Molecule: RNA transcript, 4175 nt
Organism: Phragmites australis (common reed)
Lineage: Eukaryota; Viridiplantae; Streptophyta; Magnoliopsida; Poales; Poaceae
Gene name: protein MEI2-like 5
Exons: 15
Source: RefSeq, a predicted model, not a curated record
CAGUGGGUUGGUGGAAAAUCCUUGGCCUCACUUCCAUCUCCUCUCAUCAGCCUUCGUCUUCCCCAUCCCUCCCUCCCUCUCUCCUCGCUCUCUCCUCCCCUCCUGUCCCACCCUGUUCGCUCGCGGAGGCCGACCCGUGGAGGCGGAGCUCUACCCUCGGACUCCUCGAAGAGGGCCCGGGAGCUGCGCGUCGAGGCGGCGGCCCGCGCCAUUGCUUCUGAAAUCCUCUCCCGGGCUUGGUCGAACGCACUCUUCGUCUUCUGUUCAUCGUGCUCCCGCCUCCUCGCCCCAUACUCACCUCGCCGCCCUCCACCGCGCCGGCGGCUGUCGGAGGAUCCACCCGGACUCGGAUUGGUUUCUUCUUUCGCUUUUCCGACGUAAUGGAGCAGCCUGGGGCUCAUCCUGAACUAUCAGAACCUGCAAAUAUUCCAUCCAGAAGGACUCAUCAGAUGAGAAACAUAUGGGCUUGGGGAGUUCCUUCUGCAACUACAAUUAAUGGAUCUAACAAUGCUGCCUUGUUCUCCAGCUCAUUGCCACCAGUACUGGGUAAAGAAAGGGAGCACCUUGCUCAACCAAUGGAUGAUAUGUUUCCAACAAGAAAGCAUCUGGGCACUUACAGCAGAGUGACAGAUACCAUGGAUGAUGUAGUCCAACAUUUGAUUGGAAACCUUUUACCUGAUGAUGAAGAAGAGCUCCUUGCUGGAGUAAUUAAUGAUUUUGACCAUGUUAAAUUGCAAAACCAGGCUGAGGAAUUGGAAGAAUAUGAUGUUUUCCGUAAUAGCGGGGGUAUGGAGCUGGAUGUUGACCCUCUGGAAACUAUCACCUUUGGUACGGCAAGAGCUUCUGUCAUCAAUGGUACUGAAAGCGGAAGCAGUCAAUACAGUCUCCAAAGUGGUAUUGGGACAGUGACCGGGGAGCAUCCAUUUGGUGAACACCCCUCUAGAACUUUGUUUGUGAGAAACAUCAACAGUAAUGUUGAAGACUCAGAGUUGCGCUCAUUGUUUGAGCCAUUUGGAGACAUUCGGUCCAUGUACACUGCAACGAAGCACAGAGGAUUCGUUAUGAUAUCUUACUAUGAUAUUCGAGAUGCUCGAACUGCUAUGCGGGCACUACAAAAUAAACCUCUAAGGAGGAGGAAACUUGACAUCCACUUCUCAAUUCCCAAGGAGAACCCAUCAGAUAAAGAUAUGAACCAAGGGACCCUUGUCAUCUUUAAUUUGGAGCCAGCGGUGUCAAAUGAAGAACUCCUUCAAAUUUUUGGUGCAUUUGGUGAAGUGAGGGAGAUAAGAGAGACACCACAAAAGCGCCACCAUAGAUUUAUUGAGUUCUAUGAUGUCAGGGCAGCAGAAGCUGCCCUGACAUCAUUGAACAAAAGUGAUAUUGCGGGUAAGCGGGUAAAGUUGGAGCCUAGCCGUCCUGGUGGAGCUCGUCGAAGUUUCAUUCAGCAAAUUAACCAUGACUUUGAGCAAGAUGAGACAAGGCAUAACGUGUUCCAUCUUGGAUCACCUUCUGCCAAUUCCCCACCAAGUUUGUGGGCCCAACUUCGCAGCCCAACAGAACAUAAUCAAUUGAAUACACUCAAUGAAACUACAUUUAAUGGUGGGAUGAGCCCCUUGGGUGGUAACCAUAUUUCUGGGUUAUCUUCAGGAUAUCCUUCGAUGAAUUUGCCCAUCGGGAAAAGCUCCAAUAGGAAUAUCCUCCCUGAUCAUAUAUUUCAUGGUUCUCCCAAUCUAUAUAAUUCACAUUCAUUUCCAGAACAAUACGGUGGAAUCGUGAGUGCAAGUCCGCUUGUGUCUUCUGCAGCUUCAUCUGCUUCUACUGCAUCUGGCUUCACACCACUGACCUGGACAUCAUUUCUUUGGGGUAGUAAGAAUACCUUGAGGGAGUAUUCUCAGCCUUCAGUCUUCAAUUCUCCACCUCUUAGCAAUUCACAUUUUUCCAAUAGCCACACACAACGCCAGGGUAGUCUCUAUCGGAACCUUCAUGGUUCCUUCGGGCCAUCAGAGUACUUAUCUCAGCAUCAUGUUGGGUCUGCCCCAUCUGUCUUGCCUCUUGAAAGUAAUUUUGGCUAUUAUCCUGAGUCCCCAGAUACAUCUUACAUUAGACAGGGUAAGUUUGGAAGUAUAGGUCGCAGCUGUGUUGGUGGAAGUCUUAUGACAAACUUUGGUGUGCAUUCCUGCGUUAAUGUUCCAUCUAUGCAAAAUGGUUUAGUUGGUUUUAAGGGUCUACUUGAGCCUGUCCGAAACCAUGCAUUUGGAAAUAUUGGGUGUCAAGAAGAUAGCAGGAUGCAGUAUCAACUAGAUUUGGAGAAGAUCGUUACCGGAAGGGACACUCGGACAACAUUGAUGAUAAAGAACAUACCUAACAAGUAUACAUCUAAAAUGCUUUUGGAAGUAAUAGAUGAAACUCAUGAAGGGACUUACGAUUUCUUCUACCUGCCUAUCGAUUUCAAGAAUAAAUGUAAUGUUGGCUACGCCUUCAUCAAUAUGACAUCUCUUGCAUACAUUGUAUCAUUCUACAAGGACCUUUGAUGAUAUAAAGUGAUGAUGUUAUGUGGGGCAGCACAUAUGAGCGGCAUCACAAGAAGCCCAACUUGGCAACGGCCAUGGAGGAAGCAGAAUAAAGGCAAGCAAAGUUAGAUCUCCUAAUCUCUCUCUCUCUCUCUCUCUGUGCUCCGCACCAUCUAGCCACCAUAGCUUCGGGGAGGGGAGGUUACCAGCCUCGUCCUCGUGUCGAGCAUCCCUACAACCUGAGAAACAAUCCACAAAACCCAAGCCACAAUGCCAAGUGCGAGGGCCACAGUGCAGGAGUUCUUGCAGGCCUGCGCAGCAUGUCAGCGUCACAAGACGGAGCAUCUGUACCCUGUAGUCCUCCUCCUGCUGGUGCCCACCAUAAUUUGGCCUGAUGUGUCCAUGGACUUCAUCAAGGGACUGCCCAAGGUGGGCAACAAGUCCGUCAUCCUUACGGUGGUGGACCGCUUCUCGAAGUAUACCCACUUCAUCAUGCUAUCACACACUCGUACUCCGCCGAGUCUGUCGCCCAGGUGUUCUAUGUUGAGGUUGUUUGCCUACAUGGGUUUCUGACCUCCAUCAUCUCCGACAGGGAUCCCGUGUUCACCUCGGUGUUGGCAGGCCCUCUUUCACUCCAUCGGCUACAAGCUUAGCAUGAGCUCUGCAUUUCACCCCCCAUUCCGAUGGCUAGUUGGAGGCGGUGAAUAAGGUGAUCGCCAUGUACCUGCGAUGCAUUAUGGUCUAUUGGCCACAUAACUAGGUGUGCUGGCUUCCAUGAGCAUAGUACAUCUACAACACCUACCGUUGGGCCUUCCGGGACACCCUGUUCUAUGUGGUCUAUGGCCGGGAGCCUCUGUCCCUCUGCUCGUAUGAAGCCAGCAAUGUCUGUGUGGCUGUGGUGGCGUGCACUAUGGCUGACCGUGAUGUAUUCUUGGCCAAUGUCCGCCACCGAUUGGAGCAAGCACAGCAGCUCGUCAAGUGCACCUACAAUCGCAGCCACUGCAAUGUCUCCUUCGUGGUGGACGAUUGGGUGUGGCUCUGCCUGCACCAUUGUUCGCCGGCUGACAUUCCUGACUCCUCCAAGGGCAAGCUGCGCCCUCGCUUCUACGGGCCAUAUCGGAUCAUCGCCCAUGUCAACCCGGUGGCAUUCUGUUUGGAGCUUCUGUCGGCUGCUCGCCUUCAUGAAGUGUUUCAUGUCGGUUUGCUCAAGAAGUUUGUCGGCUUGCCGCCAUCAACUCCACCAGCGCUACCUCCUCUCCAUCAUGGUGUAGUCAUCCCUGUUCUAGAAUGUGCGUUGAAAGCACGCCUCUGCCAUAAUUUUCACCAACUGCUCAUCAAAUGGCUCAGCUAGUUCGACUCCACUGCUUCCUGGGAGGACCUGGAACAAUUCCAACAGCGCUACCCGUCAUUUCAGCUCAAGGACAAGCUGCUAGUCAUGGGGUGGGGGUGAGAUGUUUUGUGGGCCCCUGAUAUUCAACAGCGCCACAAGAAGCCCAACUCGGCAUUAGCCCAGUAGGCCGCCAAGUUUUUACUGGCCGGAAAUGGGAAAAAUUUAACAGUGAGAAAGUAGUUUCACUGGCAUAUGCUCGAAUCCAGGGGAAAUCUGCUCUUAUAAAUCACUUUCAGAAUUCAAGCUUGAUGAAUGAAGACAAGCGAUGUCACCCA